GAAGGCGCCCAUGCUGAUGUUGUCAUGUAUUCUAAACGGGGAGGAGAUUCCUCUACAGAGAGCAACCCCAGAAGGGAAAAUGAUCGAUGCCACUGUUUGCAGCGAGGGGCUGGAAAGCACCCAAAACGCAGGCGGCUGUACCCACAUUCCACUACAGCACAAGCCGCGCACUGUCCAAACGCUCGAGCCAGAACUGUCACUUGGACAAACUGCGUGCUGCCCUUUUUUUAACGAGAAGGAGGCAGCUAUGAGCAAUAUAAAGUCACUGGGGAGCAGUUCACCUCCGGCGUGGGUGUCACUCUGUUGCGCUCCGUCAUUAAAUAAUGAUUUAUAUGCGGUAUAUCAUUUCUGAGCCUACUGACGGGAACAGAAACGUUAAGUUGCCCCCUUUUGGUCCAGACUGAAGUGUAUUUAUAAAGAUAUCCUUGGUGCCCGGAAGAUAUUGAUUGUUUAGCAGGUAAAAAGUUUUCACUCACUAUCUGGUGAAAUACAAUGUGUCAGCAUUUCCUGGAUGGAUUGAUACGCCAUUUUAUAGUGAUAUUGAUAGUGCAAACUUGUAUCCCAAUUACUCGGUGUGAGGAUAUGCCAGCUUUUCCCUCCAGCGCCACCAUGAGGUUGGUAUUUGGGGAAAUGUCCCAAAUGUAAUAACGCAACGUGAUAAAACUGUACUUUGUUUCAAAUGUUUGCACGAUCAUGCGCACCUUUUUUUCUCCCUUCCACCGUCAUCCCAGAUGUUGACUGCUGUCACACGUGCUUCAUAAAUCCCUUUUCUCUCAUGUCAGACAUCGCUCCAUCUCCUUUCCUCCAUCUCCCCUGGCCUCCCCUCCACACGCUCAGCAAUCAAACAUCACUUAAACGGCCCCGCGUCCUUAUGACGGGACUUGCUGAGGCGGCAUGUUUUCUCUGGGAAAUGACUCGUAAAUUAGGGAGCUCCCAGAGAGCCAGACGAGCACACACAAGGUUCCCUGAUUAGUGUGGCUGGGAGGAAGGCCAGACGGGUCAAGGCUGCAGGACCUGUUGAGGACCAUCAUAGAGUUGAAAGAGGAAAGGAAAGCAUAUUGAUCACGUGACGGCGGCUCGGUCAUUCUUAACAGCAUGCAGUUAUAGCGCCCCUCAGAUAAACAUUAGCAAAUAAAAAAAGUGUGUUCAAACUUUUGACUUGCACUGUAUGCUGACAAUGACAUUUAACAGUCCGACUACUGUGAACGCUCGAACCCAGGAGAACGUGCUUAAUGGGAAGAAUCUGAGUCCAGGAGACAACCUUUGCUGACGUUGUGAAAACAACCGCUGACUCAGGUUCAGCACUUAUUUCAAUGAUUAAAAGAAGGCGGCCGAUUGAGCAAAACCAGGAUGAUAUGCUUGGGCGAUUAUCUAAGAGUUCAACCUCAACGUAUUUUGUUGAGUCAUGAUAGCCUUAAAUUCUGAAGACGGACAUUUUUCGUCAAAGGAUGGCUUCAUUUCAAGGAAUUUAUUCUGCUUUAGCAAAUUAUGAUUUUACUCGCCAAUUAUCCAGUUGAUAAUGCCCUUUGCAUCGGCAUUCACCGUUCAGUUAUGUCGUGGAAAAUGAAAAGAUGGAAGAUGUAAAGCGUGUCAUCCUGUACUGAGGUGCAUGAGAGGCUAAAAAAGAAAAAUACUUCUCUAGCUUCAGACAACAAACAAUGUAAAAGACGCAGGACUGGUACGUCCACGACGUCCUGGCCCGAGAAAUAAAAGGCCAAUAAAGGUUAUUCAAUUACGUCUUUAGACAGAGAGGCGUAAAAAGAGGAAAUGACGGCCUGCAAAAAGGGGACCUCAAUGACUCCCGCAAUCUCCUGAUCUUAUCAGCAGGUGUCAGCCACUCAGGGCAGAAGUCACACAGACUUAAAACGCUAGCGCAAGGUAAUGAUUAACCGUUUAAACACACAAUGAGGAUGUUUUGACUGGGAAGCGGAGAGGUAUGACAUCAUGUCAUCAGUCCCUCCAGAAAAUACACCCUAUGAGAAAAAGGGAAAAAAGAGACGCGCACAAUGAAUACUCUGCAGCUGAACUCAAAGUGGUGGAGACUUUCUGGUGUCUACAUGCACACAACAUCAUGGAUGUUGACGUUUUUUGGCAUCGGGGUUAUUGUUAAUGUGCUUGUGUUCAGCAGCCCUGCGAGCAAGGCACUUAGCUCCCUCUCGUAUUGCUCCGCCGCUCUUAAAAAUGAGCACAGCUUUAUUGGGCAUUAUAUAAAAAUGAUGUCAAUUUACUAAAAAUGAAAUUACGGCAAAUGUUCUGUGGUCUUUUUUUGUCUAACUGCACAAACAGCGGUGCUAAAAUGAUUUCUGCAUGGCGGCUAUUGAAGAACAAUGCGCACUCAAACUAGCAGCAUGAAGGGAUUUGAGGGUUUCAUGGGGCUAAAGACAAACCUUUGCAAGGAUCUCAAACCAAUUAUAGGGUUAUAUGUACACAAGUUAGUCUUGUUAAGUCACGGUGUAUAAUGUGCCAAAACCUGACAGGAAUAACUCCUGAAUGCUCAAUUGAUCUCGUUUUCACUACAAGAGACAAGGGGAUUUCAGUUCCGAGAGGCAUUGGGGUAUAAACUUUAUGGGCACUCCGUGAAGGGCAUAACAGUUUAUUUUAAGACGUUCAUCCGGUGCUGACUUCUCACCUGCGGACUCAGACGGACAUAAAUCCAAGUACGUAGCAAACGAUCAAAAAACAAUAAACAACACAUUUAGCACAUGGAACUUUUGGUGCCACACAUCAGUGGUUCAAUCGGCGCAACGGGAUGCCGUCCGUCGUUAUGUCCAAACCUUACAGAGAAUUAAAGCACUUUAAACAUUCCUGGUCAACAAAGUAUUCAGAACUUCAAGUCAAGCAUGUUUCUCGCACUAUUAAAUUAAGUCUAUUUUUCCAAAAAUGUCCUUUAGUGCGGACACCAGUAAAAAAAAAAGAUGCAUAAAAGUCUGAGCCUUAAAACAGAGCUAUUUUCAGAAUGGCGAGGUGACGUCCAGCUUUGGUGACAAAACCCCAACAGCGGAAGGCGUGGUUGGCCCUGUGAGCGGGAUGCGGCGUCCCCAACGGGACAAAGCACAGGGGCAGUGGACAGUAAAGCCCAGAGGAAUGUCCCGCCAUGACCGUCUUCUCACACACGGUCGGUGAACCGCGGAGCAGCUGUCCCUCACUGACUGUCCCCCGGCCCGGUCGGAUCUGCUCUGAAAGACAAAACCCCGGGACGACUGACCGUCAAAUUAGCAUUUUAUGUCUGUUGAUUGUGAGGAAGGAACGACAGAGGACAAGGAGAGGGUUGUAGAAGAAGGGUGGGCGGGAGGAGGCGAAGGCCUUGAUUUGUGACGCAAUAAUGGCAGCGAAUGUCCGUCACACUGUCAUAAAAGCGUAGCUGAGGGUAAUCAGUGUGUGCGGAUACCAAACGAGACGUUAAUCACAAAAAGAAGUUGUUGUUGAUCCGCCAAGGGCCACGUAAAUAUCGGUUGGGCAAACUGAAAAAAUGUGUAAAACUGGCGAAAAAAAACUACAGCUGGAACGACUCAAGCUGAUUUGUUCACUGCCAUGGAAACAAUUCCUAACACAUUAUAAAUGCCAAGUUGGGCCCGGCACCUGCCGAGUGAAGUCACCAGUAUUGAAAAGACUAUCAAAAGUCUAUCAAAAGACUCCCUCGUGGUACAGCGGUAAACUACACAUUAAAAAAUGUGCUGAAAAAAAGUUUUAAAAAUUAAAAAAGGGCACACCCAAAAUGCAACAAUCUUUUAAAUGACAAACAAUUUCAAAUUAAAUUACCAACUAGCGCCACAGCAAAUUAAUAUAAUGGAAAUAACAGGAAAGGACAGGAAAUAACAUCCUCCGACUGCCAGGACAUCAGGUCAGAUGUUAUCGUUUAACGUCUUAAUGUUAAAUUGUUUACGGGAGCAUUGUCACCCUGGUAAAACCAGAGCAGUCUUUGCGGAAAUACUCUUCAUGGCAAUAACAAAGGACAAUAGCUCGUAAACUUGAUUGAUAGACAGACUAUAAUAAAAAUCUCAGGAUUAAUGACACUGCAUAAUUGUGUAACAGAAAGCUAAAUAACAAAUAUGUAGACAAUGGGCGUUUAUGUUUAUAUUAACUUAAAAAAAUGUAAAAUAGGGGGUUUAAAUUAAGCAUAAUCUGAUCCCCGGUACAAAGUCGUAAAACAACUACAAACGUAUGCUGUGAUGUCAAUUACUUUUGCACUUUGCUGUAUAUUGCUCAACCUCUUGCCUUUAUUUUUUUAAUGAAGAAAGUGUGUGAAACCUACGACCAAAAAUUCUCACGGUGUUACUUCUGGAUUGGAAUUAUAGUGAAAAGAAAUCCCAUUUUAUAUUAGUCCAAUAUUGUCAAACUGGAUUAUUGUUAAAUGUAAAUAAGUAGCUCACUUCAGGGCACUAUGUGUUGUGGUUACGUUACUGCUGAAGCAGUAGAUUUAAAAAACACUCAUUCACUGCACAGCUUUGUAAGAAAAUAUUUCUUCAGGUGUCUCAAAGUUGUCAUUUAUACUUCAUUUAAUAGCGUUCCAUCCUCCUGUGCUAAUAAAACCAGAAAUCUAUUACAUUCUAAAUAUUUUCUAUAGAACUCACAAGACAGUCACUCAUUUUAUUUGAAGGCAGGUUUUGCAGUAAACAGAAAAUGGCUGUUAAAAGAUACAAUAUAUCAAUACACACUACACACGUUAAACUUUUUACAUCACUUAUCAAACCAAAACCAACAAAGAAACCCGUUAAUCUGGGACCCGACUUCCCUUUCCAUUGCUACCACCUGUGCAUACAGCUUUAAAAUGUUGCACCCAAUGAGACCCCCCAAACACACACUCCCAGCGGAUUUGAAGAGGCGGUGUUUGUUCAAAUCCAGGAGGACAAGUCCCUGUUGAUCCCACCACACCCAGCGGUUUCCUCUGCGAAGGACCUGGAAGGUAAAUAACAGCAGGACAGAGAUCAUUCCAACGCUGCCUGACCACAAGUGUAAACCCCGCAGCUGGUACGGCCUCCCAUCCUCUUCCCCCGCACAAUGUGACUUCCUCCAUUCCACAGGCUCUGUAAACAAAACACACCAAACGCUAACAUUGCAUAACCCGAUCGGCGACCCCCCCCCCCCCCCCGGGCCGAGCGUCACCCCUACACACAAACACGCUGGUCUGCAGUGAGAGAGAAUUAUUUUUGCGACUGCUCCCAAAAGCCCCGGGUUCAGGCAUCCACAGAUUUGUGAUUCAAUAUAUCUGUCACUGAAUUGUUUUUUUCCCCCCCCUCUUCGCCCACAUUCCCGUUUUCUCCUUCACUUUCUUGGCCAACAGGUCCUUCCAUCUGUUGGCCAGCUGGUGGAAAAGGAGGAGGAGGAGGAGGGGAGGGAGUGGGAGUGGGGGGAGAGGAGGGAGGGGGCUUCUCCACCCGGCGGUUCGCUACUCUCAACAGUCUGACGUUCUCCCACCGAGCGUAAUGACUCUUCUGCGGGUCUCAUUAGGGCCCCGACCCGGGGGCUGGGUUCACCUCCCUGCAUGAUGUCACAUCCAGGCCGCGGACAUCCCACUGUUGAGUUGCGAGUAACAACCCACUGACAUGAUGUCGAUCCGGAUUGCAACAUCUCGGCGUCGGAUCGGAUUGACGCCCAAGAAAGCAACAGCGUCCAGUUGAACGGACGCCGUUGAGCUCAACGCUUGUGUGUCCAAUUGUGUCAGUCAUCAGCCUUUUCCUCCCCUUCACUCUGCCUCCCCUGUGACGGACAGGUCCGGGGCAGAACUGGGGCCCAACAACAUGUAACCCGACCCUGACCCAGCGCUCGCUCCUAGCUCUUUAAUGGUCUUGGCGUCACUCCCAUUUGCGAUGUUGGUUUAACCUGAUGCUAAUGUGCCCAUUGUGCACAAAGUUCUGUUCCACUAGGUCUGAUCUGCACGUAGCCUCCGACACCUCGGCUGUCAACCGUGGCUUUCAAGCAGCACUAUCCUGAAAAGGGGAAGAGUUUGUUUUGUCUGUGGUUCUUGUAACAGUGGGCAAGUCUCAUACUGAAUGGAGGCAACAUGGCCGUUACCCCGGCAACCUUUGUGAAACCUCCGGUUUCUCUGUACAAUAGUAGGUGCGAGUAGACCGUGUUUCUUGCUCCGUUAAUUAAGGGCUUCAAGUAAACCGAAAUUGGCUAUAGCUGAUUACACCCAUCAUUACAUUUCAAUCAAUAUCCAUCUCAAGAAAUCAGUUUUCUCUGCUAUUCACUGAUGGUCAGUCGUUCCAUACUCACUGCCAAAGGUAAAAUCACUUGCCAUAUUUCAGCAGCUGCAUUAAGAUGCCCCUUUAUUAAAUGUAAUGUGUAUAAAACUGCAUAGACAAAGAAACACAUGAAUAUGAAGAAAACAAGAGCUGGUGACAAACCUUCCAAGACAAACUCUCCCACUGAAAACCUGUUUCGAAUCACUCAGCCGCUCCGUAUCGUUGUCGCCACGGAAACGUUCUUGACCUUUCGCCGCUGGUCGCGCUUCACCUGUCGACAACUCACGGCGUCCCCCACGGAACUCUCCCCACCACCAAACCAUCCACCACACGCUCUGCCCCUAUUCGACAACCCCCCGCACGCCCACGGGAUUUAUUGUUUUAACUCAUUAAAGCCGUCUUCGCAGCGAGUGAUUUAACCUGCAAUUGGUGCCUUUUGGUAAACCAAAGUCAAAGUGCAAACCAAAAAGGGGAAAUCCCAUCCGUACCGGACGCUGUGUCAGCCGGCUCGGCGGAACGGUGGACCGGAGAGCCGCCUCUUCGUCAACGUGUGUCCUUUGAAAGUCAAUCUUGAAAAAUGACUUGCAACAGAUCCACACUUUCUCUCCUGAAUGAGACCCGCCUUGUCAAGAUAAAGGGGACUUUGUGACCCCGGGAGCAAUGCCGUCUGGGUCAUUUGGCUUCUGGCGGGGUCUAAAAUAGCAAAUUGGUCCCAGGCAUGAGGUCAGAGGACACCUCAAUGAUUAGCACCCUCUGUAUGGAGUAUGCUACUUUGCUGCAUUAGGACACCUCAUUUUUGAAAACUUUUACCUGUUUUGAUGUUGAUGACAUUUGUAGUUGACGUGAAGCCCCCAACACAAUCGACAAAACUGAUUUUUACUUUUCAAUACAAAAGAUAGUGUUGAUAUAUUAUUAUUUGGUGGGAAAGAUCAAUACACAAGUCAUGGGAAAUCGGUUUCAUCUCUCCCAUUGCAGUGUUGCUAUUCAUUUCAGAUAUAGUGCAGUCCACUUCCGCAUUAAGCCAGGAACUGUUUCUUGGACGCAGCUCUUGGAGAUGCACUUUCUUUCCCUUUCAAAAUGUGCUGCUGUUUGUGAAACCCUCCCCCACCCCCACGGCCCACCAGAGAAAAGCAGAAGUAUACUCGGCAUGGAGAGAAACAAACCCAGAUGAUUUCUUUAGUCCGGGCUUUGAAGUUUUAUGGUGCCGCGGCUCGACAGAGCCUCAGAGAGAGCGAGGCCCGGACGGGCCUGAGUUGCAUCAAGCAUCGGCCCACCGUUUUGCAUUAAUGUACCAAGUGGUACGGACACACAUGCUCAAUGUCAAAGGUAGAUUAGAAUUGGUGACAGCGUGGGUCAUUCACGUUAAUAUUGACCUCAUCUCAACGUCCCCUCGCCAGCCGGCUACCCCCCCUCCCUCCUGACAUCACCACACACAACUUUUGCUGCGCGUCUCCCACAUCCCAUUCAGAUCCUUGUUGGGCGACGGCCCCAAAGGCUCUCCUCAUUCAACGGGAUGCCUGCCCAUUAUAGCAGAGGUUUCCAUGUCUCUCCAAACACACAGAAGCUAACUCAGAAGAAAAGUCCACCAGAGAGAAAUCCCAUCUGUGUCCUCAUCCAUUCUGCUGGUCUGGACAUGAGCAAACAGCUCGCUCGAACCCCCCCCGCCCUCCGCCCUGGCAACCCGUUACCCUCCACACUGAAACCAUUGGAAUCCACACACAGUGAAUCAAGAUUCUCGACGGCAGACCCAACAGCCUCUCAUGAAUUGAGAGAGCGAAAACGCUUUAGUCGCACACAGAACAAGCUUCCUGGCUCUUUGUGAUGAUGGUGGGGGCAAAAGCCGUUUGAGAGGGGAAACAGGGUGGAGGAAACCCAGCCCUGUGAGCAGCGGAGAGAGCUAUGGACUGGAAGACAUUGUGUCUAACUAUGUCACAAUGGGGAUUUACGUGAUGUUUGCAUAUGGUAAUCAUUGUCUAGGGAUGAAGUCUUUCGUUUGGUGUAUUCAAAAAGGGUAUUUAAGAACAUUUGUACUGGGAAAUGUGGCGUAAAACCAAUGUCUUCUCAUCCCCAGUUCUCCUCUUACUUUAAAUGUCUUGUUAAGAAGCAGAAGUAAAAACCUAAUUAUAAUUAUUUUUUUGUUUAAACAGGCGGCAGAAAAUUAAAAGUUGCUUAUUUUGUCAGUGGCCAUUACGCUUCACAAAGACGGCCUCCUCCUCGGUUCAAAGCACCAUCCCUCUUUCAAUUACAUGUCACACAAGCACUGAGAACUGCGAUGGGAAAGUUCGCUCCUCAAUCGGGAAGUUUGCUUGGACAGAUUGGACAAAUAUUUCUUUUGUGCGGCCGUCUCCUUGCCUCUGUUCGUCCCCGACAGCCAGAGAGGGGCGGGUGUGAACAACCCAAAGUGCACUACAUGACGGGCUGGCUCGGCUGAUUUGUCCGAGACACAUGGCCUUCCCUCCAGCUGCCCGUCUGUUUACACGUUAACUCUCGCCUUAAGCAUUGAUUUUUUGUUUUUUUUUGGGGGGGGAGGGUAUAAGGUUUAUGUUAAGAGAGGUUUCCACCUCUCAAGAGAAUACUAUUUCGAGGUACACUGAGGAAAGGCAAAGUCCAUUUUAACACCACAAAAAAAAGCCACGAUGAGCAUUUUUAAAAUUUUUACUUAAAGGACAAAUAAAUUCAAAGCGCCGAUAUCAGUCUGAACUAUUAUUGUUCUUGACGUCGUACCCGGGUUUCAACAGCGAGUCAGUUCAGAAUUCCCAUCCCUAAAACAGACAACUAUCUGCUUUUUAUUCCAAGAAAAACUCCAGACACGGUGAAACAAACUCACAGUUCUCUGGCACCAUAUGGUGCCAUCUACAGAGUGGAAGGAUGUGUAAUAGCACACCAACUGCGCGGACAAACAGCAGCCCCGCACCACAUGUUGCUGUAAAUCAAACCCCCGACUGCUCUUCUGUUUCAGCGUCUGACAUCCAGCACUAAAGGGCAGGUGAUACCAUCAUGAUCACUUCAUAGUCCUGCUACGCAAACCUGCUCGGCCAAGCGGAGGGACGCUAAAUCAGAACCAGGAGGGAGAAGGUAGUGGUAGAGGUACAAGUUUUCAUUUUCAACUUGGGGUAACAAUUUGUACCUAGUUUAAAUGAUUAUAUCAAGGGACAAACUGUAAAGUGGCUCUGCCUGAUAAUUAUCCCAAGAACAAAUGAAAACAUCCCUCGCCUAUGCUGCAGGAAAAUGCCCCUUUGAUAUCCUGUUAAAACUUAUGGCCUUUAAAUUUCAACCCCCCCGAAACAAAAUUACCAGUGUAUAUGUUUAAGCCUGUUCACAUUCAGUUACCAGGCCAUUUCCGUCUUUCAGCAGACGCUAGACACGUGAUUUAUCACAACGGCAGAUCAAUGACCGGCGCCGGGCCGCGGCUCGACGCAAAGGGUCUUACCAACCAGGCACGUCCUCAGAAACACUCCAGGGGGAAACACAGCCGGCCCUCAGGAGCAACAUCACCUGUGCCCUCUUGUGGAGGGCUGGCACGGUUCAUCCUCGUCUCCCCGUUGGACUCGAGGCACAAGCACCACGGCCGCUGGCAAGGCAUGUUCAUUCUAACCUCCUUUUUUUCCCCUCGAGUUACUCUUCUUUUCAUCCCUUUUCCCUUCAGCGUCGUAAUGUAUCACAGAAAUGAGUAUCAGCCCCAAAAGCCCCAUCGUUUGGCCUGAACUUCAAAGACUCGCACUUCGGCGUGCGACGUUCCACCGCCCACUGACGUCAUGGAGGAACACUUAAGUUGCUUGGUUAUCAAGGAUUUAUCCUCAAUCAUCCACGAGGCCCCUUUUUGACAUGAUCCAAGCGUGACGAAUGUAUCAACAGCAAUGUAAAUGGAGACUUAACAGGCUGAUUCUGACCCAACGAGAUAAUGCAAGAAACAAAAGAGGCUGAAUAACUGCCUCUUUUGGGGGAUUUAAUGUAAACUUAAAAAGGUCUCAAAUGAACCGAUUCUCAUCAGCGAGCGGUGGUGGAGAGAGAGAUUUUCAAAGGCCGCGAGUGAUGAAGUGAACAGCCCUCUUAAUAACUCUUACAGUCUAGCACUGCAAGUGAGAUGUCCUGCAAGACCGGUGGAUCCAUCAUCCAUCUCUAAAAGCUCACAGCCCAUAAACAUUCCAUAAAGUGCUGAUGGUGUUUUUACACAUUCAACCCAAAGUUGCUUUGGAUACCAAAAAAAAAAAACCAAAACGUUUGCCUGCCCAUGAAUCACUUUUAUUUUCGUGUUCGCUCUUGCACACCAAUGAGAUCAUGUACUGUAAAGUUGGCCUGCAUGCUUUGUAUAGUCUUAGUGGAUAGUGGAUGUCAGUGCGGGCCUCCCCUGAUAGCAGAUAAAACAUAAGUGUGGGGGCCAAAAACGUGCUGAUUGAGGUGGGCGAGCUGCUGUGUGACACAACACUCUGUUCCUGUGGUUCAAACAGGCUGCUGAGGUUUCAGAGCUACUCCAUUUGGAUAAACAUUACACGCAAUACCCUUUGAUUGAAAUUACCCUCGAUAAAAAAAUAGGUACACGCUGUUCUUUGGGUGACUAGAGUUAGAAAAAACAAUCUGGGACAAGUCAAAAUCAUAACAAAGUGGAAAUGAUUUAUGUAAGUAAAACAACCCCCCCCACACUUCUGAGUCACACAAUUUUAUCAGAGCUCUUUCCGAAAAAUGAAAUCCCUCUUCUUUGUUGUGCUGAUAAUAUCAUCAACUCACAACAUCACAUCCGACUCGUUAACGUCCCCGUUCACUGUGAACAGACUUUUGAUCGGUUCGAUUGAUUAGUACUUCUCUGCAGAAAAGCGUCAUCUGAGUGAGAACCAAACACUUGCAAUUCAACUCACACUACGGCAAUUAAUCUGCCCAACGGACAUCACGCACGAGUCAUCCACUGACUGAAGCUGAUCACGACGAGGGAAGAGAAGCGACAAAACAAAAAUCCUUGCUAAAGGAAAGGGAUUCGAUCCAAAAGGAAAAAGGAGCAGCAGGUGCGAAGCAGCUUAGGGUGCUCAAACUUCUCCUGGCCUCAGUACAGACGUUCCCCUGCUCUCCUGCGGUCAGAGAACCACUUGAGGCUAUUGAACAAAGCCGAGCUGGCAGCUCGCUUCCCCCGCCGACUGGCCGGCAACAAGAACCAUCGCUCAGUUGCACUCCGCCCUUUUCUUGCAAGCUGUCCCUCGGAGCCCCGAUGAAGUAACACGGACCAAAAAAAAAGAGCCUUUAUUGCCAAAUCAAAUGUUUUUAUAUCAUUUCAGCCGCUUAGUUUGUGAAUCGGACGUUGGGAGCAGCGGGUCUUACGUAAUCGUGAUUAAGGAAGUCAUAAACUUGAGAAGAAAAAGAGAAGAGCAAAAGCAAAACACGUUCUGUGAGAAAUUCUUUAAAUCAUAACAGCUUUUAUGAACACGUUAGAUUCAAUGUUUAUUUUUACUGAGGCCAUAAAUAAUCAAGGUGCAUGUGUUGAAUAUGAUAUAGCAAAUAUUUAGAAAAGAGAUUUAAAUCCACAAGGCGUAAUACAAAUCACUUUUAGGAAUCUGGCAACACGUGUCCUCUUCAGCAUAUGGACGUUGGACACCGAAGAAAUCAACUGAGAAUGUUUUCUACUUUAUAUUUGUCACGUGUUUUUUUUUUGCAUUUACAGCGUGAAUGAAGUUGCGUCUAUUAAAUGUGAGUCAAAGGGUUUGAGGCUGCACGGAUACGUCUUUACCCACUAUCCACGGCCUCUGGAUGAACCCUUCCAGAAACUGGUGAAAGGACACAAAAGCAAGUUGGCCCUCAAUUAGAAUAAAGCUGCAUGACAAUGCAGAAUUAAUCAAAACCUGGGCACAAAGCCAUGGGCGGACUCAAUAAAAAUGACUGCAACUUUAUAUGUAAAUAAGGAAACAUAAAAGAGCUGGGAUCCAAAAUGGAUCGAUGUCUCAACAAUAAUAAGACUAACGUGAGCACAAAGAGUCCCUGGAGCCAGAGGCGAGUCUGGAUGAGUCAUCUGACCCGGGAUUGAGCCUCACCCGCUGCAGCGCCCGCCAACGUGUGACUCGCACGCAGCCCGCUCCCUCUCCGAAAGAGAUCCCCGAGCGUCUGGAGCGCCGACCCGCAUCAGGGAGAGCAACCAUUAAAAGAAGAAAAAGCCUGAGGAAGGCCAAUAAACUGCCACAGCAAACAGCUGUGAGCUAUUCGACUAGAAACAACACGGCACUUUUAAUACAGCCGUCUCCUUCAACACAUCACAAGUCCUGCCAAACCCGAGAGCCUCAACCGUCCACACAACGGCGAUGGAUGUCUUCUGGUUUGUGAUGUUGGUGAGGAUGGUCGGAUUGUUUUCCUUCUGCUACUUGAGGUUUUAAACAACUCACAAAAGGAUUUAGGAUGUGUUCAGAUCAAACUCAAAUGCAGAGUCUUUCUUGUGCUGUACAAAUAAAUAAGAUGGCAACGGGCAGUGAAAGCGAUUUAAUGUCGGCUGUUUCAUUGACGUCUAUUCUAAGAAGAAAGAGAGGAAAUGAUGCUAUUAGGCAUAUUUCAUAAGCGAGGGUUGAAGAGACAGAAUUGCUAGUUGCCUUCCUGUGGGCGACUGUGGGUGAGUGGGGAGCACGGUUGUCCUCCAAUCAGAGGGUUGUCGGUUCGAUCCCAGGUUCUGCUAACCCGCAUGGGCAAGACACUUAACCCAAUGUUGCUCCUGUGGCUGCAACUACAAUGUGUGAAUGUUAGUUACUGAUGAUGGUUCUCCUCUCAUCUGGGUGUGAAUGGGUGUGAAUGGGUGAAUGAUGUCAUUUAGUGUUAAAGCGCUUUAAGUGGUCAGAAGACUAGAAAACCGCUAUACAAGUAGGGUCCAUUUACCAUUACUUACUGAGCGGCAGAUGGAGGGAUUUUAAUUCCAGUCGAAGUGCUGAACUGAAAAAAAAAAUGGAUGCAUAAUAUAUGAAUAGAGGUUAGUUAAAGUUAAAAGUGCAAGACGGUACAUGAAUCCACAAUUCCUGCCACUGCUACAAAUGGGCACGUCAAUACCUUUUGCAAUUGUAAAAUACAACUUCCACGCAGAUAUUAAAAGAGAUUAUUUAAAUAUAUACACAACAUUUUUGUAAAUUGGGUCCAAUUUCCUGAUGUCGUUUUUACACAUGCUAUUAAGUAUAACGCUUGCUGUCAUGUUAGUUUUCAAUCACUAGGCAUUAUGUAGGGAUCUGAAUACAUGCUUUUUUAUCUUUUCUUUUUGGUGUUGUUUCUUGUUAAACAUCAUCCGUUUCUAUGGGAGUUAUCAAAAUACAGACUGAUUGGUCCACCCACCGUUCCAGUGGUGCAGAGCAGCUCAAGGGUUUCAAUCGGCUCUUCUAACAUUGACGUGUCAGACUUGAUCUGUUUGUCUUGGCUUUUGCUGAUCAUCCAGUGCUACACAUUUUAACAAAACAAACUGGGGACACUUGUGUGGAGCAGAACUUCCACCGUGGCCUUCAAAUAACAGCAGAGAGAGAGAGAA
Molecule: long non-coding RNA, 13659 nt
Organism: Gasterosteus aculeatus aculeatus (three-spined stickleback)
Lineage: Eukaryota; Metazoa; Chordata; Actinopteri; Perciformes; Gasterosteidae
Source: Ensembl